Molecule: long non-coding RNA, 395 nt
Filed under: Canis lupus familiaris (dog)
Lineage: Eukaryota; Metazoa; Chordata; Mammalia; Carnivora; Canidae
Description: lncRNA (ENSCAFG00030008701.1)
Source: RNAcentral
CGCAGCCUGAGCCUGCGCGCGACGGCUGCUCCGGGUUCGCGGCCCGGGUCUUAGGAGUUGGCCGCGGCGUCCAGGACCCCGGCCCGGCAGCGCCUUGUCCUCGUCCUUGCUUGCGGGGCCUGCGGUGGUCCUGGUGGGGCAUCCUCUGGGCCAUUUCCCUGAAGCGGCCGGGGGGGCGGGGGGUGCAGAAGGCGUCGUGGGCGCCGGCCCCGGCCCGGGAUGACUGCCUCCUCCUCCGGGAAGCCGGCACCGUCACCGCGCUGUGGCUGCCGCAGCUGUUCCUGCUGCUCAGGCCCGGGCACCCGCCUGCUCGCCGUCUGCCUUCUCCGCGCGGCCGAAGCGUAUCAGGAUCGCCUCGUGCUCCUCCAGAGAACUGCCUUAUUUGUCCCCUUUGA